AAGUCGUAACAAGGUUUCCGUAGGUGAACCUGCGGAAGGAUCAUUAACGAGUGAGGGUCUCUCCGGCCCGACCUCCCAACCCUUUGUCUACUCGACCAUCGUUGCUUCGGCGAGCCCGUCCCUCGUGGACCGCCGGGGGGCCGUCACAGGCCCUCUGGCCCGCGCUCGUCGGUGGCCAACCCCCCAAAACUCUCACCCAACGUGUCUUAUCUGAGUCCCACAUUUUAAUUAAAAGCAAAACUUUCAACAACGGAUCUCUUGGCUCUG
This 267-nucleotide unclassified non-coding RNA is filed under the name air metagenome. Its description in RNAcentral is "partial contains small subunit ribosomal RNA, internal transcribed spacer 1, and 5.8S ribosomal RNA". The stretch from base 1 to 46 matches the Rfam family "Eukaryotic small subunit ribosomal RNA", at positions 1786 to 1831 of the family's 1831-position model. The record is from RNAcentral.